Molecule: ribosomal RNA, 393 nt
Filed under: Salmonella enterica
Lineage: Bacteria; Pseudomonadati; Pseudomonadota; Gammaproteobacteria; Enterobacterales; Enterobacteriaceae
Also listed under: 1 other name
Description: partial 23S ribosomal RNA
Rfam family: Bacterial large subunit ribosomal RNA
Source: RNAcentral
UAUCAUUAACUGAAUCCAUAGGUUAAUGAGGCGAACCGGGGGAACUGAAACAUCUAAGUACCCCGAGGAAAAGAAAUCAACCGAGAUUCCCCCAGUAGCGGCGAGCGAACGGGGAGGAGCCCAGAGCCUGAAUCAGCAUGUGUGUUAGUGGAAGCGUCUGGAAAGGCGCGCGAUACAGGGUGACAGCCCCGUACACAAAAGCGCAUGUGCUGUGAGCUCGAUGAGUAGGGCGGGACACGUGGUAUCCUGUCUGAAUAUGGGGGGACCAUCCUCCAAGGCUAAAUACUCCUGACUGACCGAUAGUGAACCAGUACCGUGAGGGAAAGGCGAAAAGAACCCCGGCGAGGGGAGUGAAAAAGAACCUGAAACCGUGUACGUACAAGCAGUGGGAGC